Molecule: long non-coding RNA, 5774 nt
Filed under: Triticum aestivum (bread wheat)
Lineage: Eukaryota; Viridiplantae; Streptophyta; Magnoliopsida; Poales; Poaceae
Description: long non-coding RNA (TAES_LNC007256)
Source: RNAcentral
GACUUCCUCUGCACACUCAACUACACGGUGGAGCAGAUGCAGCAGUUCGUGCCGGAGCUAAGCAAGUGCGAGAGGACGAUUCCCGGCGGCGUGGCCAACCUGAACCACCCGUCGUUCGUGGUGGUGUUCGACGGCCGCACCCGCGUCCGCACGCUGACGCGGACGGUGACCUUGGUGUCGGCGCGCCCCGAGAGGUACAACGUGACGGUCGCCGCGCCCGACGGGGUGAAGGUGACCGUGACGCCGGCGACGCUGGAGUUCAGGUGGCCGAACGAGAAGAGGAGCUACAGCGUGCAGUUCAGCAGCGAGGCGGGGGCGAAGGCGAGGCCGGCCGGCACGUGGGAGUUCGGCCACAUCGCCUGGGAGAACAGGAAGCACCGGGUCAGGAGCCCCGUCGCCUUCAAAUGGGACAACUGAUGCCAUGCAUGUAGGCCGGAACUCUGAGAGUGAGUCUGAUUGCCUGAACUCUGAGAGAGUAAUGUUAUGAUACUUGAGAGUUGAUCUGUAAUGAAGAAGAAGAAGAAUCGGCAUUUCAUUGUGGUGAACUUGUGAUGAGGAGAAAGGAAUAAUCAUCAUGUUAUUUUUCUCCUGUCCAAUUGCAUCUAAUUGCGUAUGGAUCGUCGUCCAACUUCAUGGAAUGAAAUCAUAUACGUACAUACUACAUAGUUUUAAUCCGUAGACUCGCAUUUGCAUUUUGCAUGGCUCUCUCAGUGGCUGACCAUGCAUAUUUCCUUGGUGAUGCAUUCAUGUUUAGCUAGGUUAGAGUACUUGAGAUGUACUCCUAUCAUGGAUCGUACUGUACGUCAUACGUCUAAACAGACUGGUGUUGCUUCCGCGCAUCAUCUGCCGCCGUAUUGUAUCGGGACAAAUGCUACUUGGAGAGAAGCAGAUUUGAAAAUAGCUAACAGCGUCAUAUUAGAAAGUAUCAAUACCUAUAAUGUCUAACAAAUAUAAUAUAAAAAUAUAGGCCCUGUUUGGUUCAUAAGUCCUAGGACUUUUUUUAGUCUCAACUUAUAAGUCGCAAGUCCCUAAAAAGUCCCUACUUGUUUGGUUCCUGGAACUUAUAAGUCCCUAUAAGACCAUAUUACAACUAUAAGUCCCUAUAAGUCCCUACUUGAGAGUCUUAUUUCAUAAGUCCCAAAUGCCCACUUUAAGUCCUUAUAAGUCCCUCCUGUUUGGUUUAGAUGGGACUUAUAGGGACUUUUUUAAGUCCCUAAGCCAAUAAGUCCCUGGAAACAAACACCCUCAUAUUUAAUAAAUGGUAUUGUAUGUCAUAUGUCUAAACAGAACAUUUGGGUCAGUCGACUGAUUGGGUUCAUGAACAUGAUAACACGUUCUUCGGCUUUCUUCUCUCUCACAAGCCUUUCCUCCUUGAGUGCAUGCCUCCGCUCCUCCGCCUUCAACUUCUUCUCUCCGGCCGCCAACUUAGGCCUCCAUUUGUCGUCCUCCAAAGACUUGAGCUCAUUCCACCUUUCCGCCUUCUCUUCUUUGCGUUCGAUCACCAAUGAUUUCUUGGUCAGUCAUAGACACAACACACAAGCUCUAUCUUGUAGUUGCCGCCGAAGGCUCCUCUCCUUUUCCUCUCUCUUGCAAUCUUGUUAGCACCGGGCCUCUUAUUGGGAUUUUCAUCCUCCUCAUCACUGGCUUCAACGAUAUGCUAAUCCUUGACCUCUGUGGAGUGGCCUUGAAGUUUCUCCUAAUCCACUUCUCAUUGUUGGCGAGUUCUUUGUAGCAAUGGUGCAACAUGAAGCCCUUGCCACCAUUCUUCUUGCUGUGUUGCUUGUAUAACACUUGGACGAGAGGCACAUAAAGAUUUUCACCACACUCGGUGGCAAAUGGUUGACUUGAUCAAUACAACCGAACCAUUGGUUGCAUUGCUUUUGGAUGGUGCCCCGGCAGUGCCCAAAAGAGCCUUGAGUGCAGCUUGAUGUGACAUCCACAAUGGUGCUAUGGCACUCUUCCGUCCUACGUACCCCAAUACUUUCUUUUGAUUGAUCUGUGUUAACCGAUGCAUCAAGCGUCACAUUCAUCCAAGCUUGAUAAAAAGCAAUCUUCUUCUUGGCAAUAGUUGUGUAUUCUCGGUCUCUUCAUGCUUGAUUGUGUCUUCAUGGGAUUAUUGACCUCCUCGGCCUCGUCCUCCUCCUCCACUUCAGGAUCAUCCUCCUCCCCACCCUCUAUUGUUGAGAAAAUAUCGGAUAUUCAUAUUGAGGGGCGUAGGGGUGGCUAGCGACGGGGUACAAGCAGCCGGACAAGUCGAGGUGCUGGAGUUGCCUUCUUCUUCGCCUCAGCCUCGGCAAGCACCUUAAUGGCCGAUGUCGGCUUCUUCGCCCGCUUACCGCCAGCCAAAUCAAGAGAAGGGUGACUUGCCAUCGUUGGGGCCGGCCUUGCCACCGCUCUUGCUGCCGGCCUUGGUUGACGGUGGGGAGGCCCGAAGCAAGUUUUUGGUCCCCGACCUCUUCCUUCGUGCGGGCAGAGGCACGUGGGUCGACUCCGGCGGCGUCACACCGACGGCGGUGGCUGAAGUCUUGCAGUUCAUUUCGGCCAAAAUCAGGGGCAUCGAUGGCAAAAACAAAAGUGUGCUGGUUUUCUCCACAUUUUUUUUUGUAAUUGACUCAAUGCAUGAUCAUGUUAUGUGCCGGGACUUGACUUGUCAUCAUUCUUAUCUUUUCGCUCUUUCCCUUGAUCACAGGUCACGAGUAUCAGCAUCGAAGGCGUUUUAGUAAUAGGAGAUCCAAAUAGUUGUGCUCUUGCGUAUGGCUGUUUAAGUUCUCAUGGGAAAGUGUAAUGGAUGUUACUACUUGCUAGCUUCUUGACGCUGAUGGUCUUGUAGUACCAUGAGCGAUGUGCAUUUUUGUGUGGGAGGAAGUACCAAGUUUUCUGCAUCAGGGACUGAAAACAGCCCUGCCUGGCAUCCCGUGCUAUUGCUGACAGAUGAGGCGUUGCACAAAGCUAGAAUGUUAACCGAAAGCCAGCGCGUUUGCAUGUGUUGUGUGCUUCACUCGACGGGGGGACAAGGCAAGUUGAGUUUUUAGGAAAAGACAAACGGGCAGGGUGCAGGCCGUUUCACUCCUUCCUUGUUUCGUUUGGAAGUCUGUUUCAUCACGAAUAAUGGAGCUGUGGAUGGCAAAGUUGUGCUUAUGCAUUUGCCUAGCAUCACCCUACCUCCAAGACUUGAAAUGGAGACUAGUUUGCUCAUCCAUGUGCCCUUGGGGCUUGCUGUAAAAAACUGCUUGCUACAAUGUAUGUCACUACCCACUGGUUUUGUUACAAAAAAUCAAUAAAAAUUUGUUCCCUUGCAAAACAAAGCCCAAUAGUUUUUGCUUCGAGGCUACAUUUACCUUCCACUAGGUCUGGAUCACCGUGCAUCUACCAUCCACUAGCUGUAGCUGAGCCACCAUGAUGAUAUAUUUAGCUAAACAUGGUAACGCAAGCUUCAAACUAAGAUAGAAUUGGGAUGAGACCAUGAGCCUAACAGGUGUGUGAUGCAAAAUAUUUUCUCUUGGCGAUGCAUUUUCUUGCUGAUCUGAACACGCAUGCAUGCCUUGUCCGGUAGCGUCACGCUGGGCUGCUCAAGCUCUAUAAAACCCACCACUCGCAUGCAUUCCUCAACCACAACCUCCCUCACACACAAUACAACAAUGGCUUCCAUGAUCUCCAUCCUCUUGCGCUGCUCCCUGCUACUUCUCCUCCUUGUCCAGUCCACACACUCCUCCGUCACCUCGAAGCCCAAGAACGACAUUGCCGAGGAGCACAAGCAGCCUCAUCCUUCGACCUCCAGCACCUACAUCGUCCUCACCAACCACCUCGCCAAGCCGUCCAAGUUCGACACCCUCGAGCGCUGGUACGCGUCCAUGGUGGGCAAGAACUCCAACCGCAUCCAGUACACCUACGGCACCGUCAUGCACGGUUUUGCGGCUCGUCUCACGGACGGCGAGGCCCAGCGCAUGGCGACCGUCCCCGGCGUGUCCCGCGUGUACAAGGACAGGCUGUACCACACCCAGACCACGAGGUCUCCGUGGUUCAUGGGCCUCCACGACGACUUCGGCGCGUGGCCGGACGCCGAGUUCGGCGACGGCGUCAUCAUCGGCUUCGUCGACACCGGCAUCUGGCCGGAGCGCGCCAGCUUCAGCGACGCCGGGCUCGGCCCCGUCAGGUCCACCUGGAGGGGCAAGUGCGUGGACGCGCCGGGAUUCAACGCCAGCUUGUGCAACAACAAGCUCGUCGGCGCCAAGUCCUUCGUCGAUUCGAGUCCGAGGGACAUCGAGGGGCACGGAACGCACGUGUCGUCAACGGCUGCAGGCUCCGAGGUCCCCUCGGCCGAUCUCUUCAAGUUCGCGCGCGGGAGAGCGAGCGGCGUGGCGCGCAGGGCAAGGAUCGCCAUGUACAAGGCGUGCACACCCAUGGACGGAUGCUCCUUGUCGGCCAUUACCGCGGCGAUCGAUGCCGCGGUGAGCGACGGCGUGGACCUCAUCUCCAUGUCCCUCGGAGGCCCCGUGGAAGCCUUCUACGACGACCUCGUCGCCGUCGCCACGUUCGGCGCUGAGCGCAGAGGCGUCUUCGUCGUCAUGGCGGGCGGCAACGACGGCCCGAAAGCGUCAAGCAUAACCAACGUGGCCCCGUGGAUGACGACCGUCGGCGCCGCCACCACGGACCGGUUGUUCCCGGCGACACUCCGGCUCGGCAACGGGGUGGUGCUCACCGGGCAGUCCCUCUACAACAUCCCGUUCUCCCAGGGCGCGGGCAUGAUCCCGCUAGUGAGCAGCGACUGCGGCGAGUACGACUACCACCUGACGCCCGACAGGAUCAUGGGCAAGGUCGUGGUGUGCUCCCAGGGUGUAGGAGCUUGGGCCGGCUUUGACGUGGAGAGAGCCGGCGGAGCCGGGAUGAUUUCCGCAGAUAGUAGGGUACGGUUCGGGGACGCGGUGAAGGCCCAACCCUUCAACCUUCCCGGUCUCCAGCUCAGCUCCACCGGCGGCAAGAAGCUGGCCGAUUACAUGUCGUCCGUGGCGUACCCGGUGGCGUCCUUCAACUUCACCUCCAACACGGUCACCGGCGAGAACCGGGCGCCGAUGGUGGCGGGCUUCUCCUCGCGGGGCCCCAACCCGAUUGUCCCCGAGAUCCUCAAGCCGGACGUCAUCGCGCCAGGAGUGAACAUCCUCGCCGCUUGGUCUGGUGCCGCCUCGCCAUCUGGCUCCGACAUGGACCCGCGGAGAGUGGGGUACAACAUCCUCUCGGGGACGUCGAUGGCGUGCCCGCACGUGGCCGGCGUGGCGGCCCUGAUUAAGAAGCGGCACGGCGACUGGACGCCGGCCAUGAUCCGUUCGGCGCUGAUGACGACCGCCGGCCCGCUCGACAAGGACGGCAGGGACAUCGUGGACAGCGGCAGUGCCAUCGGCGCCGCCGUCAUGGGCGCGACGCCGCUGGCGGCCGGGGCCGGGUUCGUGCUCCCGCGGCUCGCCAUGGACCCGGGCCUGGUGUACGACGCCGGCACGCAGGACUACGUCGACUUCCUCUGCACACUCAACUACACGGUGGAGCAGAUGCAGCAGUUCGUGCCGGAGCUAAGCAAGUGCGAGAGGACGAUUCCCGGCGGCGUGGCCAACCUGAACCACCCGUCGUUCGUGGUGGUGUUCGACGGCCGCACCCGCGUCCGCACGCUGACGCGGACGGUGACCUUGGUGUCGGCGCGCCCCGAGAGGUACAACGUGACGGUCGCCGCGCCCGACGGGGUGAAGGUGACCGUGACGCCGGCGACGCUGGAGUUCAGGUGGCCG